GUCCUCCGCGGAUACUCUAAUAGUGGGGCAGUCCUCCUCUUCGUCGGAAUCAAGUUCUUCCUCAGAUGAGUACUCCUCCUCACACCAGUCCACCAUAGUACUCUCCUCAACAGGGAGACCCACCACCUUCUCUUUAUACGAGAACUUCCUGGUCUCCCCUCCUCGGCCCUCCACAAACACACCCCCAAAACAGAACCCGCAUCCCCCUUCGCACCUUUUUGAGUUCUUUUGGCUGUAGCUCUUCGUCGUCCAGGUGCAUUUUCUUUUACCCAGAACUUCUGUCCAUGAAUGAUAUAUAUGGCUUCAAAAGCCACUGUUGCCGUCAAUUAUGAGUUCGCUUAUUGGUAAGGGGAAGUCAUCUUUAAGGCAAGCUGCAUUUAGGUCUCUGAAGUCGACACACACUCGUACUUGUCCGUUCUUCUUGCGUACUGGCACAAUGUUGGAAAUUAAAUCCACUUGGGAUAUUUCCUUAUGAAAGCGGCAGCUAUGAAUUUGUCCACCACUCCGUGGGUUAAUUCCUAUUCAAUUUGCAUCUCGAAUUCAAUGUCUUCAGUCAGCUCUUCCGUCUAGUC
Lupinus albus (white lupine) is the source of this 572-nucleotide non-coding RNA. The record is from the annotation of a GenBank genome assembly. NCBI's taxonomy places the organism in Eukaryota, Viridiplantae, Streptophyta, Magnoliopsida, Fabales, Fabaceae.